GGCGGCUUGCAGAAAAGAACCCCUAAGCAUAGCUUUACUAAACGUUUCUUAAGACUAAACUGAUUUUUAUUUAAAACGAUUUAAAACUGUCUUGCGCCAUGGUUUUUCUAAAACGAUUUAACAAAACCUAGUUUAUGAUAUCAUUCAAUUUCUCAUUCGGUCUAUAUACGAUUCGUUAUACACUAUUUGAUUUAAAAUUUGAUAGUUUCCAAUGAAGUGGGCUAAUAUUUUGGGUGAAAUGAAAUAUACUUGUCGUCACAUGUCAGUCCAGUCACCGACUGUUACUGUCACUUGAUAAACAAACAACCGUGUGCUAGAAAUAUAAAUACCUAAUUGAUAAAUUAUAAAAAUGGAAGGUAAAAACCACCAACGGGCACCCAAUUUUACAUGUGACGAAAGUAUGCUUUUAUGUAACCUCGUAGACAAAUAUAAUUUCAUAAUUGAAAAUAAAAAAACUGAUGGUUAGACCGUAGCCGAAAAACAGAAGGCUUGGAAGAUGCUGAGUAAAGAAUAAUAUAACGCCAACACCACUUAUGUACCCAGAACUACUGAGAAUUUACAACCUGGGAACAAAAACCUGAAAACAAAGACGAAAAAACAGCACUCAAGUGAAAAAAUGCAGAUCUCAAAUAUACUUAGAUAGUAAAGUUUUAGACGAGUCUGUAGUUCAGACAGUGGCGCUCCAUGGAUAAGACUGGGAAAUGGUGUCGGCUGAUGUUAAUUUCCCCCCAGAGGAAUGCCAAACAACAUUCAAUAUUUUAAGUAAAGAAGCGAAACAAUCAUCAAGCAAAAUAAAA
Non-coding RNA from Plutella xylostella (diamondback moth), 797 nucleotides. The record is from RefSeq and is a predicted model, not a curated record. Lineage: Eukaryota; Metazoa; Arthropoda; Insecta; Lepidoptera; Plutellidae.